Pelobates cultripes (western spadefoot toad) is the source of this 265-nucleotide non-coding RNA. NCBI's taxonomy places the organism in Eukaryota, Metazoa, Chordata, Amphibia, Anura, Pelobatidae. The record is from the annotation of a GenBank genome assembly.
CAAAAGUGAAAAAAAAAUAAUAAAAAAAUUAAAUGAGUUAAUGGAAAAUGUAAUAGAAGUAAUGCAACAUUUAAUGUUAAUGCUCUAUAAUAGUAUAAUAAAUGCAAGAUAUGAACACAGUACAUAAGAAGGUAUUACAAUGAGUUUAAUAAAUAAAACCCACAACAUAAACAGGCAAUUUGAUUUCUUUUUACUUGGUAACCUUGAUGUGUACUCUGGAGGUGAAUUAGAUGAUACUAUGUAACUAUAGAGGUUUUGUAAUCCU